AUGGGAAAUAAGGGCGAGCUGAGUUUUAACUAUAUUUGGCAUAGGCAUCAUUAAAUCCUUUUAUAAUAUUUUAUAUAAUAUGGGAAUCUUCUGAGAUGUUAUCUGUUUUAAUCAGAUUUAUAUCUUCUAGAAAUGUUAGAAAAGGACUUGAGAACCUUUUGUUCAUUCAUCUGGUUCUCAAUGGUUCUAUAACGUUUCCUUCAAGUACACACUAUGAAAUAUAUAAUGGAAUCUUGUUAAUCAGCUGAAGACUGUAUCAUAUUACUUCCGUUAGAAGUCUUGGCCAUUUAGCUCAUUCUGAAUUGAAGUGAAAUCAACUAAAAAAAUGUUAAUUUGGUCAAUCAGCCUCCUACUAAAUGUGCUAAUAUUUCCUAGGAUAUCCGUUUGGUUGGAUUUACUGUAACAUGCAAGUUAUGCAAUUUUAUCUAUGGCUUUCAAUAUUAACAGAUUUCAUUUGUUCAGAAUAUAUUUAGUUACUCACAUGAUUAAUAUGCCCUUGACUUUCUCUUCACUUUCUUUUCAAGCAUGUAUGUAGUUUUAGCAAAUAUGGGUUUCCAGUGGUUUUCCCAUAAAUAUAUUAAACAUGUCAAAUAGUACCAAUGAGUAGAGUUUUAUGCUGUUUGUCUGAGUUCCUGUGAUUUUUACAUGUGUCCAUAUUGCAUCUUCUGAGAUCUCUUUCAAAUCAUUUGUCCCCCUUAGUGUCAAAAAUGUAAUUCAACAAUCACGUCUAGCUAUGAUUUUACUCAGAGUCCUUAGUUUUACUGUGUACUUUGGUUGUUGAGAACAGAGCUGUAUUUAUGCUUGAUUUCACUCGUGGUAUUUUUAGGACUGUGGUGAAGAAACAAAGGCUAUGUGUGUUGAGCUGGUAGCUAAUCGCUUUCUAAGAAAGAUGGUUCGGGUGCUUGUGGCAACCUCAAUUAGAGAAGCUGCUGCUGGUGCUGAAGAUGAUGCCUUGAUAAAGCUCAUGGAUGCCACGUGUAGGCGUGCUACUGCUCCUCCAGCACCCCCUGAUGGUUUAUGUCUAGUUGAUGUUGGGUAUACUGAAUUUGACCCUCAAAAGUGCUUCAUUCUGAUAGAGUAAAGCCUUGUGCCUUCUACUUCCCAUUCCUAAUCACAUUUACAGUGUCAGUCACACUUUCUGAUUUUUAAUCCAAGCUGCAUUUUAAUGCAAUAUUUUGCAAUUAGAUCCUCCGCCAUGAAGCUGCAUUUUAAUGCAAUAUUUUGCAAUUA
Molecule: non-coding RNA, 1230 nt
Organism: Vigna umbellata (rice bean)
Lineage: Eukaryota; Viridiplantae; Streptophyta; Magnoliopsida; Fabales; Fabaceae
Source: RefSeq, a predicted model, not a curated record